GUAUAGUUAAGUGACUAAGCGUACAAGGUGGAUGCCUUGGCAAUCAGAGGCGAAGAAGGACGUGCUAAUCUGCGAAAAGCUUGGAUGAGUCGAUAAGAGGCGUUUAAUCCAAGAUAUCCGAAUGGGGAAACCCAGUAGAUGAAGAAUCUACUAUCAACAAGUGAAUUCAUAGCUUGUUGAGGCAAACCGGGAGAACUGAAACAUCUAAGUACCCCGAGGAAAAGAAAUCAACCGAGAUUUCGUCAGUAGCGGCGAGCGAAAGCGAAAGAGCCAGUAAGUGAUAGCAGUAUAGUUAGGAGAAUGUGUUGGGAAGCACAAUCAAAGAGGGUGAUAAUCCCGUAUCUAAAAACCAUAUUGUGGUACUAAGCUAACGAGAAGUAGGGCGGGACACGUGAUAUCCUGUUUGAAGAAGGGGGGACCAUCCUCCAAGGCUAAAUACUCCUGAUUGACCGAUAGUGAACCAGUACUGUGAAGGAAAGGCGAAAAGAACCCCGGUGAGGGGAGUGAAAUAGAACCUGAAACCUUGUACGUACAAGCAGUGGGAGCCUGAAAGGGUGACUGCGUACCUUUUGUAUAAUGGGUCAGCGACUUAUAUUUUGUAGCGAGGUUAACCGAAUAGGGGAGCCGAAGGGAAACCGAGUCUUAACUGGGCGAAGAGUUGCAAGGUAUAGACCCGAAACCCGGUGAUCUAGCCAUGGGCAGGUUGAAGGUUGGGUAACACUAACUGGAGGACCGAACCGACUAAUGUUGAAAAAUUAGCGGAUGACUUGUGGCUGGGGGUGAAAGGCCAAUCAAACCGGGAGAUAGCUGGUUCUCCCCGAAAUCUAUUUAGGUAGAGCCUUGAGGUGACACCUUUGGGGGUAGAGCACUGUUUCGGCUAGGGGGCCAUCCCGGCUUACCAACCCGAUGCAAACUACGAAUACCAAAGAGUGAUACUCAGGAGACACACGGCGGGUGCUAACGUCCGUCGUGGAGAGGGAAACAACCCAGACCGCCAGCUAAGGUCCCCAAGUCUAUAUUAAGUGGGAAACGAAGUGGGAAGGCUUAGACAGCUAGGAUGUUGGCUUAGAAGCAGCCAUCAUUUAAAGAAAGCGUAAUAGCUCACUAGUCGAGUCGGCCUGCGCGGAAGAUGUAACGGGGCUGAAAUAUAGCACCGAAGCUGCGGCAUCAGGCGUAUCACUAAUACGCCUUACGAUUAACAAGCUAGAAUGGUGCGAAGCGACAUGAAAGGUUGUUCAAGCAACCCGAACGUUGAGUCGGGCAUCUUAGAGUGAGGAUUAUUAGUGAUACGCCUGUUGGGUAGGGGAGCGUUGUGUAAGCGGAAGAAGGUUCAUCGAGAGGUGGGCUGGACGUAUCACAAGUGCGAAUGCUGACAUAAGUAACGAUAAAACGGGUGAAAAACCCGUUCGCCGGAAGACCAAGGGUUCCUGUCCAACGUUAAUCGGGGCAGGGUGAGUCGGCUCCUAAGGCGAGGCUGAAAAGCGUAGUCGAUGGGAAACAGGUUAAUAUUCCUGUACUUGGUAAAGCUGCGAUGUGGGGACGGAGUAGGUUAGGUUAUCGCACUGUUGGAUAUGUGCGUUUAAGUUGGUAGGUGGGAAGUUUAGGCAAAUCCGGACUUCCUUAACACAGAGAGAUGAUGACGAGGCUCUACGGAGCUGAAGUAACUGAUACCACACUUCCAGGAAAAGCCACUAAGCGAAAGGCUUUACUAAACCGUACUGAAAACCGACACAGGUGGUCAGGUAGAGAAUACUCAGGCGCUUGAGAGAACUCGGGUGAAGGAACUAGGCAAAAUAGCACCGUAACUUCGGGAGAAGGUGCGCCGGCGUAGAUUGUAAGGGCUAGCCCCUGAAGGUUGAACCGGUCGAAGAUACCAGCUGGCUGCAACUGUUUAUUAAAAACACAGCACUCUGCAAACACGAAAGUGGAGGUAUAGGGUGUGAUGCCUGCCCGGUGCUGGAAGGUUAAUUGAUGGUGUAAUCGCAAGAGAAGCACCUGAUCGAAGCCCCAGUAAACGGCGGCCGUAACUAUAACGGUCCUAAGGUAGCGAAAUUCCUUGUCGGGUAAGUUCCGACCUGCACGAAUGGCAUAAUGAUGGCCAGGCUGUCUCCACCCGAGACUCAGUGAAAUUGAAAUCGCCGUGAAGAUGCGGUGUACCCGCGGCUAGACGGAAAGACCCCGUGAACCUUUACUAUAGCUUGACACUGAACAUUGAAUUUUGAUGUGUAGGAUAGGUGGGAGCCUUUGAAGCAGUGACGCCAGUCAUUGUGGAGGCGACCUUGAAAUACCACCCUUUAACGUUUGAUGUUCUAACGAAGAUGACGAAACGUGGUCUCGGACAGUGUCUGGUGGGUAGUUUGACUGGGGCGGUCUCCUCCCAAAGCGUAACGGAGGAGCACGAAGGUUUGCUAAUCACGGUCGGACAUCGUGAGGUUAGUGCAAUGGUAUAAGCAAGCUUAACUGCGAGACAGACAAGUCGAGCAGGUACGAAAGUAGGUCAUAGUGAUCCGGUGGUUCUGAAUGGAAGGGCCAUCGCUCAACGGAUAAAAGGUACUCCGGGGAUAACAGGCUGAUACCGCCCAAGAGUUCAUAUCGACGGCGGUGUUUGGCACCUCGAUGUCGGCUCAUCACAUCCUGGGGCUGAAGUAGGUCCCAAGGGUAUGGCUGUUCGCCAUUUAAAGUGGUACGCGAGCUGGGUUUAGAACGUCGUGAGACAGUUCGGUCCCUAUCUGCCGUGGGCGUAGGAGAAUUGGUUGGGGCUGCUCCUAGUACGAGAGGACCGGAGUGGACGCACCACUGGUGUUCCGGUUGUGUCGCCAGACGCAUUGCCGGGUAGCUAAGUGCGGAAGAGAUAAGUGCUGAAAGCAUCUAAGCACGAAACUUGCCAAGAGAUGAGUUCUCCCAAUCUAAGAGAUUGUAAGGGUUGUUUAAGACUAAGACGUAGAUAGGUCUGGUGUGUAAGUGUAGUGAUACAUUGAGCUAACAGAUACUAAUUGCCCGAGAGGC
This 3006-nucleotide ribosomal RNA is filed under the name Haemophilus influenzae CGSHiCZ412602. RNAcentral's name for it is "LSU rRNA". It matches the Rfam family "Bacterial large subunit ribosomal RNA". Lineage: Bacteria; Pseudomonadati; Pseudomonadota; Gammaproteobacteria; Pasteurellales; Pasteurellaceae. The record is from RNAcentral.